AGCUCUUAGGAAAGAUGACUGUUGUGUUUCCAUCUGGAGCAGCUGAGCAGCCCGAUUUAUGCCUCUGGAAUUCAGCAGAGAGAAAGCCCUGUGCACAUUCACCCCUAACUGCAUCCUGCCCUCCCACUUUCAAUUUAGCAGCACCAACACUGCAAAAAGCCAACCCACAGACUCCAAACUGAGGCUGAGAGGAGGAAGAUGAGCGGUUCCCUCAGAGUGGCUGAUGCUGCAGGAGUGAUGCACGAAUCUCACAUUGAAAUUUAAGUUCUGGACCUUGAAAGUAAUAGGGUUGUUCUGCAAUUUCCCACUCUGCAAGGAUGGCUCAGUGCCUGGGGUUGCUGUCAUGUCAUUCCUUUUGGGAACCUUUUCAGGUGAAGUCAGUGCAGGUGACCUCCACCUUCAUCAGAACAGCACUGGUGUGACUGUGGGCUGCUGGAUUCUUAAUUGCUCAUAGCAUUUUCCCUGUCUCUCCAUCAGUAGUGCUCCGCCAGUGUGCUGAGUUACAUCUGAGUGUUGUAAUGCAGCUGAGCUGAAUAAUCCCUGCGGAUAGGAAGAGGAGAUGGAUGCACUCUCCUCAGGAAGAAGAGUCCAAGAGGAUGAUAGCUACGAUCCAGCUGGACCUGCAAGUCAACACCAUUCCCGGAUUUAGCCGAGAACUUUGGCAGUUUUUGAGGUGCUUGGGAUUUUGCCCUGGAUCCACAGUGUAAGGAAUGGCUGCUGCCCAGAUUUGCAAGGUGUGGUGCGGCCACUGCUGCUGAUGCCAAUAGUCAAGGAGAGGGGAAUGAAACCUGCUGAGGCUUGGGAAUGAAACAAAUCAGCAUUAAUUAAAAGCAAAUGCUAUGUGUUGACUAAGAGGUUCCAAAGCAGAUGUUUGUCAAAAUCGCCAGGAGAUGGGUCAUCUGAAAGCAGAACUAAUAAAUAAUGAGAGCGACGUUUCUAGUCAUUUCAUGUUUUCUCAGGUCAAAACCAGGUGUCAGUCAGUGCUGGAAGUAUCACAGAGUGAAACACGUUGUGUUGUUACACUGCAGGGAGCUCCAUGCCGCCAUCUCUGUGUUUGUGACCCAUGCACUCAAACCACAGUGCACCUACAGACCCGUGGCAGCAUUACAUGCACAGCUGGCAGCAUGCUGGGCAGGCCCUCACAUCACUCCUGCUCCACCAAAUGGCUCUCUGCAAUUUUAUGCUCAGGUGGAUGCAUGUUGGAAUGGCAUUGGGUCUCCAUCCCUCUCUGGAAGCAGCACAGAAGAAUCCAGGCAGCUCAGUCUAUUCUGUCCUGGGAUACAUCAGAAAGAGAUGAAGAAACGUCCAGCUGUGAUGCAAACCAACUUUUCCAGUUUUCAUUUCUACAACGUUAAACAUAUUCCAUGGAAAGACUUCAGGCACAGAAUUACUUGGGCCAUGUGGAGGGAGAUGGCAGCUGUGUCCCAACCGUUCACAGCGCGUGGUCUUCUACAGUUCUUUGGUUUUGGUCCUGCCUUCAUCAGCAAGACAAAGACGCGAACAGGAGGAGACCCCCAGCUCCGUGGUGCAGUCGAGGUUCCAGCACCCAGGAGCAGUGGCUGUGGCACACUGGGUCAGGCACAGGGCACACGCUGCUCUGCCCCAGCUCUGCUUGUACUUGCUGUGGUUCUCUGCAGGGAGCUCCUUCCCCAUCUGCCAACCCAGAGUGCCAAAGGGGCUGCGAUUGAGGCUCUCCCCAUCCAUGCAUAUCUCCAGUGCACAUCCCCAUCCCCAGGACUCAGAACCAGUGCUCAGAGCAUUUUUCUUCACCAGUGA
Phasianus colchicus (ring-necked pheasant) is the source of this 1776-nucleotide long non-coding RNA. Lineage: Eukaryota; Metazoa; Chordata; Aves; Galliformes; Phasianidae. The record is from Ensembl.